Molecule: ribosomal RNA, 235 nt
Filed under: uncultured eukaryote
Lineage: Eukaryota
Description: partial 18S ribosomal RNA
Source: RNAcentral
UGGUGGAGUGAUUUGUCUGGUUAAUUCUGUAAACGUGUUCAAGUACGGCUACAGUCAUUUGCAGUCGUCUUUACUCACUGUUCAUUAAUCGGGCGCUCUUCUCACCAAGAAGAAACAAUAAUUUCCAGCCUCAAAUGACUGUAGCCGCACUUUAACAGUGAUUGAAUAACAGUUCGGUUCUUCGGUUCGUACUUAGAGGGACUAUCGGUGUGUAGCCGAUGGAAGUUCGAGGCAA